RNAcentral lists this ribosomal RNA (484 nucleotides) under uncultured bacterium. Its description in RNAcentral is "partial 16S ribosomal RNA". It matches the Rfam family "Bacterial small subunit ribosomal RNA", at positions 30 to 507 of the family's 1533-position model. The record is from RNAcentral.
AUUGAACGCUGGCGGCAGGCCUAACACAUGCAAGUCGAGCGGAUGAAGGGAGCUUGCUCCUGGAUUCAGCGGCGGACGGGUGAGUAAUGCCUAGGAAUCUGCCUGGUAGUUGGGGAUAACGUCCGGAAACGGGCGCUAAUACCGCAUACGUCCUGAUGGAGAAAGUGGGGGAUCUUCGGACCUCACGCUAUCAGAUGAGCCUAGGUCGGAUUAGCUAGUUGGUGAGGUAAAGGCCUACCAAGGCGACGAUCCGUAACUGGUCUGAGAGGAUGAUCAGUCACACUGGAACUGAGACACGGUCCAGACUCCUACGGGAGGCAGCAGUGGGGAAUAUUGGACAAUGGGCGAAAGCCUGAUCCAGCCAUGCCGCGUGUGUGAAGAAGGUCUUCGGAUUGUAAAGCACUUUAAGUUGGGAGGAAGGGCAGUAAGUUAAUACCUUGCUGUUUUGACGUUACCAACAGAAUAAGCACCGGCUAACUUCGUG